AUUCCAGCUCCAAUAGCGUAUAUUAAAGUUGUUGCAGUUAAAAAGCUCGUAGUUGGAGUUCAGAUUGAGCUCGGCCGGUCGGCCUAAUUGGUCAGAACUGGUUGACUCUGUCUUGUUUGUGGAUCCCUCCGGAGUUAACUCUUCGGAUGUGGAGUCCACAUCGUUUACCUUGAAAAAAUUAGAGUGUUCAAAGCAGGCGUUUGCUUGAAUAUAUUAGCAUGGAAUAAUGGAAUAGGACCCUGGUUCUAUUUUGUUGGUUUUGAGAACCAGAGUAAUGAUUAAUAGGGACAGUUGGGGGUAUUCGUAUUCCAUUGUCAGAGGUGAGAUUCUUGGAUUUAUGGAAGACGAACUACUGCGAAAGCAUUUACCAAGGAUGUUUUCAUUA
This 385-nucleotide ribosomal RNA is filed under the name Telonemia sp. RNAcentral describes it as "partial small subunit ribosomal RNA". It matches the Rfam family "Eukaryotic small subunit ribosomal RNA", at positions 582 to 975 of the family's 1831-position model. The record is from RNAcentral. Lineage: Eukaryota; Telonemia.